RNAcentral lists this ribosomal RNA (231 nucleotides) under uncultured bacterium. RNAcentral's name for it is "partial 16S ribosomal RNA". It matches the Rfam family "Bacterial small subunit ribosomal RNA", at positions 546 to 776 of the family's 1533-position model. The record is from RNAcentral.
CGGAAUCACUGGGCGUAAAGGGCGCGUAGGCGGGAUGGCAAGUCAGUCGUGAAAUCUCUCGGCUCAACCGAGAAACGUCGGCUGAUACUGCCGUUCUUGAGGGAUGCAGAGGAGACUGGAAUUCCCGGUGUAGCGGUGAAAUGUGUAGAGAUCGGGAGGAACACCGGUGGCGAAGGCGGGUCUCUGGGCAUUUCCUGACGCUGAGGCGCGAAAGCGUGGGGAGCAAACAGG